CCGCCGGACCUGACUGCUAUCGGAUUGAUACUAANCCAUGCGAGUCUUUGUAGUAAUACAAGGCAGACGGCUCAGUAACACGUAGUCAAUCUACCCUAUAGACGGGAAUAACCUCGGGAAACUGAGAAUAAUACCCGAUAGGCCAUUAUGCCUGGAAUGGUUUAUGGCUCAAAUGAUUUAUCGCUGUAGGAUGGGACUGCGGUCUAUCAGCUUGUUGGUGAGGUAAUGGCCCACCAAGGCUAUAACAGAUACGGGCUCUGAGAGGAGAAGCCCGGAGAUGGGUACUGAGACACGGACCCAGGCCCUAUGGGGCGCAGCAGGCGAGAAAACUUUGCAAUGUGCGAAAGCACGACAAGGUUAAUCCGAGUGUUUUCUGCUAAAGAAAUCUUUUGUCAGUCCUAAAAACACUGAUGAAUAAGGGGUGGGCAAGUUCUGGUGUCAGCCGCCGCGGUAAAACCAGCACCUCAAGUGGUCAGGAGGAUUAUUGGGCCUAAAGCAUCC
Molecule: ribosomal RNA, 501 nt
Filed under: uncultured archaeon
Lineage: Archaea
Description: bacterial SSU rRNA
Rfam family: Archaeal small subunit ribosomal RNA
Source: RNAcentral